Molecule: non-coding RNA, 83 nt
Organism: Paramuricea clavata
Lineage: Eukaryota; Metazoa; Cnidaria; Anthozoa; Malacalcyonacea; Plexauridae
Source: the annotation of a GenBank genome assembly
AACUACGUUUCGGAGUAUAACUCCAUCUUCAGGUUAAAAGAUACUUUUAACCUGAAGAUGGAGUUAUACUCCGAAACGUAGUU